GUGAGGAAUAUUGGUCAAUGGGCGCAAGCCUGAACCAGCCAUCCCGCGUGCAGGAAGACGGCGCUAUGCGUUGUAAACUGCUUUUCCAGGGAGAGAAACUUGCGCACGUGUUGCGCAAUUGACGGUACCCUGGGAAUAAGCAUCGGCUAACUCCGUGCCAGCAGCCGCGGUAAUACGGAGGAUGCGAGCGUUAUCCGGAUUCAUUGGGUUUAAAGGGUGCGUAGGCGGACUAUUAAGUCAGUGGUGAAAUCCUGCAGCUUAACUGCAGAACUGCCAUUGAUACUGAUAGCCUUGAGUUUGGUUAAGGUAGGCGGAAUGUGUAAUGUAGCGGUGAAAUGCUUAGAUAUUACACAGAACACCAAUUGCGUAGGCAGCUUACUGAGCCGACACUGACGCUGAGGCACGAAAGCGUGGGGAUCGAACAGGAUUAGAUACCCGUGUAGUCC
RNAcentral lists this ribosomal RNA (446 nucleotides) under uncultured bacterium. RNAcentral describes it as "partial 16S ribosomal RNA". It matches the Rfam family "Bacterial small subunit ribosomal RNA", at positions 354 to 796 of the family's 1533-position model. The record is from RNAcentral.